GGGAGAUGGCGAGGCGGGUCUUCUGCCGCGUGGUUAGCGGGGUGGUCGGGGAGGAAGGGUUGAGGAUGGAAGCCGGGGUCGGAGGCGUCGCGGCGGCCGUGGCGAGGCGGCGUCGCAGGAAGAGGCGGCCGGCGGCGGCCAUGGCGGCGGCUGGGUUUAGGGUUUAGGAGGGGGAAUGACCGACACUCUGACUGAGAACGAGAAAGCUUUCUUUCACUUCGCUUGUAAGUGGCCCCGAUAUGUCAGACCCUGGUAGCAAGUUACCCCCUUUCUCGCGAUAUGGGGGCGCUGCUAAGCGCCGGCCAACCGGCCACGAUCCAGAACGGCGCCCUAACAAGCCG
Molecule: long non-coding RNA, 341 nt
Filed under: Hordeum vulgare
Lineage: Eukaryota; Viridiplantae; Streptophyta; Magnoliopsida; Poales; Poaceae
Description: long non-coding RNA (HVUL_LNC012547)
Source: RNAcentral